Long non-coding RNA from Equus caballus (horse), 1167 nucleotides. RefSeq lists it as uncharacterized. NCBI's taxonomy places the organism in Eukaryota, Metazoa, Chordata, Mammalia, Perissodactyla, Equidae. The record is from RefSeq and is a predicted model, not a curated record.
GGGUACUUGAAGCCAGUAAGUGAGCCAGAAAGUGUCAGAGAAAGCAGGAAGUAUCCCAGGAUAAUGACUUAUAAGUCCCAGCGGUCACACACAAGAACCAGGUUGGAAAUCAUUAGGUGUGCUGAUGGGGACAAACCUUUAUUCUCAAUCUGAUGCUCUUCAGAGUGUGCUCCCUCUGGGAACCCAGCUGCCACAUUAGGAGAAGCCCAGGGAGAGGCCAUGAGUAGAUGCUCCAGUUGACAGCCCCAGCACAGCUCAGGCUCCAAGCCAGCCCAGCCCAGGAACCAUACACAUGAGUGAGGAAAUCGCCGGAUGAUUCCAGCGCUGGUGAUUCAAGUCACACCAGCCAAAGUUGGUUACACAGCAAAAGACGAAUGAAAUAGAGUUGCAUUGUGCUAUUGUAUCUACUUUUGUGUUUAUCUGAAAAUUGUCCAUAGUAAAAAGUUUUUAAAAGGUUUCUAUGACCAUUAAAAGAGAAUGCUAGAAAUACACCAUCAGAUCAUCUAAAAGGCAAGAUGCGCUUUGAUAUUUUAUAAUGGUUUUAGCUCUCUGAGGACAGAAUCCCCCUUACAGUAUGGUAAACUUUCGGACUUCUUGCUCAUACGCAUGCAGCAUGCGUGAAAUUCAGGGGCGGUCUAGAUGAGUGUUCUCGGGUUAAAUUGGAGAGCAGUAAGUAUGGUGAGACAGUUGGUAGGAGAGAUUCCAAUAUUCUGAGUGAAAGGGUCAAAUUAGAAUACAGAUUUUAUGUGAAAGGAAGCAGCUCAAACCCUUAUUUCUUCUUCAUGGGUGCUGGGAUUAGGGACAAUCUUUUCUUUUUCUAUCAUAGUUGAUUAACUUCUGGACAGGAGGCUGAUCAACUAAGUUAAAGAUCUUUGUACCUCCCUUUCCCUCUCUUUGAUGCCUGUGCUUUGUGAGGGAAAUGGAAAUAGCUUUAUUUUAUUUCUGUUUAUAAAGUGAAUUCAUGUUCUUUUAAAAAAAUAUAUCUAGAAGCAACUCAAAUGUCCAUUGACAGGUGAAUAUAUAAAAAUGUGUAUAUACAUACAAUGGAAUAUCAUUGAGCCUUAAGACGAAGGAAAUUCUAUCACAUGCUACAGCGUGGGUGAACCAUGAGGAUAUUAUGCUAAGAGAAAUAAGACAGUCACACACACAAAAACAAAUACCGUAUGA